AAGCCCUAGGCAAAUGGACAAGAAGUGCAUAUAAGGCAGGGGAAAGGGUAGGCUGUUUAGUGCUGUAUUCCUUCCCUCUCUCCCUCCCGUAUUGCCCACUGCAAACUAUCUUCAUAAUUUAGGACAUCUACAGGACAGCUCUCUGAACACCUCUCUCAAUAUAUAUAGGCUCUUUCCUAUUGAAGUGGGCUUCUUCACACUCUCCAUCAACAACAUACAACGCAUGUAGGAAAACAGAGUGUGUGUGUUGGAGGGGGGUAUGUAGGGGGGGAAAUUAAAGCAAGUUUUAGCUUAGAGCUGCUACCACAAAGGCAGUCUGCUUUAAAUGAACACACUUCUAGCCGCUAACAUCAUCUCGCUGGAUCAUCUGCUGCUGCUGCUAUCUGGGUGUGUGUGUGUGCUCUCUCAGGGAAUGGCACAUAAUUUUAAUAAUGAAAUUAACAGCAAUCUUCAGAGUGUGGGCAAGUCAGAUUUUGGUUGCAGUUUACAUUGCAACCAAAGUUGGUGAUUUUGUCAACUACUAAAUAUCCGAAGGAACCCAUAUAUUCAGAAAUGUUGCAUGAAUAUAUUUCUCUUCAGGGUUUCUGCAUUUGUGGAUGUUGGCGUUGUUAAGCACCUUUUAUAUUAAAAGUUUAAACAGUCAUACACAUUCUUUUCUUGGGAUUCCAAAAGUAUGUGAAAACCUUAAUGCAGUGGUUCUCAAGAGCCAGAUGUUCACCCAGAUGCUGUUGGUCUACACAUCCCAUCAUCCCCAGCCACAAUGGGGAUUGGAUGAUGGGAGUUGCAGCCCAACAACAUCUGGGGGCCCAAGUCUGUGAACACCUGCAUGCAUUUGCAGCUUUGUUUUUUUUCUUUAACAGCUGUAUUGGAUAGUUGGAUGUAGUGGAGAUCACGAGGGAGGGAGCUCUGCCAUUUAAUCACCUUCUUGCCGUUGGCAGAGAUACCAGCUGCCUGCAUCCGCUCCAGCCCCAAGCAGCUGUGCUCUAUCGGGACGGGCUUCGGAAAUCGGGGCCACCUGUGCUUCCGGCGCUCCUCCAUGUACUGGUCUUGAACCUGCAGCACCAGCUGAGGGACGCAGGCAGCAUGCUGGGGAGAGAGACCAGGGCCACAAGAAAGCGUUUUCGUCAUCAUCCAUGUCUCCUCCUUCCUCAGAUCCCUUCACAUUAUUUCAUGAUCCCAGAGGAAAUGACCUGUUACCUUUGGCCAUUCGUGGGCUCGUUGGCGCUCCUGGAGCAGAAGGUCCGAGGCGCUGGGCUGCGGAGAGUUGCCCUCGUGGGAAGUGGGCAGGGACAGCAGCGAUUCCUCCUCUUCAAAGAGCUUCCCACUGCAAGAGACCUCUUCACCUGCGGCGGGGAGUGGGGAAGAGUACACGGCAGUCGUUAGGAGGGGCCAUCGCGGGAAAAAGGCACACCAAGGAGUGGGUACACAAAUCGCAUCCAUCCUACACAAAUCUUGAUGAGUGGGCCUUUCCUUGAUUUCACAUGGAGGAGAAUUAUGCAAUACCAGGUAUGACGAUCUGUGCUGAUUUCCUAAGGAAGGCCCACAAACUCUAGAACAGACCUUCACAACUUAGGCCCUCCAGCUGUUCGACUACAGCUUCCAUCAUCCUCACAGGCCAAUCGUCAGGGGUGAUGGGAGUUGCAGUCCAAAGCUGGAGGGCAGCUGUUGUGCAGCCCUGCUUGAGAGGAAUGCAGCUCAUCUCCUUCAGGGACGCUGUGGGAUUUUUAAUUGGGGCUGCAGCUUUAAUUGAGAGGUGCAUACAGCUUAAAUUGAUCAAUGGGCCCCAGUUCUGUUUUAGAAGCGUAUUUUGGUCCUCAUGACAAGCUGGUAAAGAAAAGUGAGAGAUGGCCCUUCCUUCAAACAAUAAAAACAGUCUUAUUUAUUA
This is a long non-coding RNA of Hemicordylus capensis (graceful crag lizard), 1885 nucleotides long. RefSeq lists it as uncharacterized. The record is from RefSeq and is a predicted model, not a curated record. The transcript is spliced from 3 exons. Lineage: Eukaryota; Metazoa; Chordata; Lepidosauria; Squamata; Cordylidae.